CCAAGUUUAACGUGUGUGCUCCACUCCUCCAACCUGGCCAAAGGGCAGUCAUCAUCACUGGCCACUACUGACCACAGCCUUUAGAAACUCCCCUUGAACGUGCUGGGCUGACCUUCCUCUGAUCACAGGCAAGGCAAAGGAAAAUGACAGGCCCUUGCCUUCCCGGUCCUCAAGGGUCAGCUGUAAGAUGAUGUCAUAAAGCCGGAUCAGGUCCUGGGGCCGGGGGAAGCACUUGCUGUCAUCCUCUGGCUGCUGCUGCAGCAGAGCCCUCUGCAGACCUUUGGCCAUGCUCUCAUUACGCUUGAUUGCCAUUGACAGCUUGAUGUAAGUCAGGUGAACAAAUAGAAGCUGAGGGUGAAGGACCUACAGCUGUCACCUUCAUCUCUUCUCAACACUGCCAACUGUCCCCUUGGAUUUCCCAGACAGACAACAAGGGACAUCUCUGGUUUCUCGGUGCCCCCUAGAAACCUCGGGUCAUUUCAAGGCAUUAUGCAAAUGAGAAGCUUUCCUUCUCUUCACCUCAUCUCCUGAUCUGCACAAAAGUGACUGUAGGACCCAGUGUUGUAGAUGAGCAUGAGAGUGUGGAGCAGAGUUGGCGAGUGCAAGUCGAG
Molecule: long non-coding RNA, 611 nt
Filed under: Homo sapiens (human)
Lineage: Eukaryota; Metazoa; Chordata; Mammalia; Primates; Hominidae
Description: non-protein coding lnc-SPECC1-5:2
Source: RNAcentral